AGAGUUUGAUCCUGGCUCAGGAUGAACGCUGGCGGCGUGCCUAAUACAUGCAAGUCGAGCGAACGGACGAGAAGCUUGCUUCUCUGAUGUUAGCGGCGGACGGGUGAGUAACACGUGGAUAACCUACCUAUAAGACUGGGAUAACUUCGGGAAACCGGAGCUAAUACCGGAUAAUAUUUUGAACCGCAUGGUUCAAAAGUGAAAGACGGUCUUGCUGUCACUUAUAGAUGGAUCCGCGCUGCAUUAGCUAGUUGGUAAGGUAACGGCUUACCAAGGCAACGAUGCAUAGUCGACCUGAGAGGGUGAUCGGCCACACUGGAACUGAGACACGGUCCAGACUCCUACGGGAGGCAGCAGUAGGGAAUCUUCCGCAAUGGGCGAAAGCCUGACGGAGCAACGCCGCGUGAGUGAUGAAGGUCUUCGGAUCGUAAAACUCUGUUAUUAGGGAAGAACAUAUGUGUAAGUAACUGUGCACAUCUUGACGGUACCUAAUCAGAAAGCCACGGCUAACUACGUGCCAGCAGCCGCGGUAAUACGUAGGUGGCAAGCGUUAUCCGGAAUUAUUGGGCGUAAAGCGCGCGUAGGCGGUUUUUUAAGUCUGAUGUGAAAGCCCACGGCUCAACCGUGGAGGGUCAUUGGAAACUGGAAAACUUGAGUGCAGAAGAGGAAAGUGGAAUUCCAUGUGUAGCGGUGAAAUGCGCAGAGAUAUGGAGGAACACCAGUGGCGAAGGCGACUUUCUGGUCUGUAACUGACGCUGAUGUGCGAAAGCGUGGGGAUCAAACAGGAUUAGAUACCCUGGUAGUCCACGCCGUAAACGAUGAGUGCUAAGUGUUAGGGGGUUUCCGCCCCUUAGUGCUGCAGCUAACGCAUUAAGCACUCCGCCUGGGGAGUACGACCGCAAGGUUGAAACUCAAAGGAAUUGACGGGGACCCGCACAAGCGGUGGAGCAUGUGGUUUAAUUCGAAGCAACGCGAAGAACCUUACCAAAUCUUGACAUCCUUUGACAACUCUAGAGAUAGAGCCUUCCCCUUCGGGGGACAAAGUGACAGGUGGUGCAUGGUUGUCGUCAGCUCGUGUCGUGAGAUGUUGGGUUAAGUCCCGCAACGAGCGCAACCCUUAAGCUUAGUUGCCAUCAUUAAGUUGGGCACUCUAAGUUGACUGCCGGUGACAAACCGGAGGAAGGUGGGGAUGACGUCAAAUCAUCAUGCCCCUUAUGAUUUGGGCUACACACGUGCUACAAUGGACAAUACAAAGGGCAGCGAAACCGCGAGGUCAAGCAAAUCCCAUAAAGUUGUUCUCAGUUCGGAUUGUAGUCUGCAACUCGACUACAUGAAGCUGGAAUCGCUAGUAAUCGUAGAUCAGCAUGCUACGGUGAAUACGUUCCCGGGUCUUGUACACACCGCCCGUCACACCACGAGAGUUUGUAACACCCGAAGCCGGUGGAGUAACCUUUUAGGAGCUAGCCGUCGAAGGUGGGACAAAUGAUUGGGGUGAAGUCGUAACAAGGUAGCCGUAUCGGAAGGUGCGGCUGGAUCACCU
Molecule: ribosomal RNA, 1540 nt
Filed under: Staphylococcus aureus
Lineage: Bacteria; Bacillati; Bacillota; Bacilli; Caryophanales; Staphylococcaceae
Description: 16S ribosomal RNA
Rfam family: Bacterial small subunit ribosomal RNA
Source: RNAcentral